UUGAUUAUUUACAAGUACCUGAAAUUUUGCAAAGAUGUACUGUUGUCAGCACUUCACUCCUGCAUAUCACUGUGCCAGUGGCUGGCUCCUCAGCCCCAGGGGGAAAAGGGUGUCAGAUUUUGCCUCUCUCGUAACUUCAGGAAAGAUUAAUGAACUUCAGCCCAUCUGCAGUGAACGGCUGAUCCUUCGGGAUGAAAGGAGCUCAAAACACUCAGCCUUAUACUUAACGACUGAUCACUCUUCUUGAGCAGUGGUGUCAUAUUGGCAGGUCUAUCCACAGAACUGUGCUAGACAGUGGAUAACAGUGAAUACCCUUUAAUUGGAAUGGUCACCAAUGGCCUCUCUCAGACACUGUCAGAAGAAUCUAAGAUGGAUCCAUGAAUUUACCUUCAAGGGGAUGUGCGCUAUUCAAAACUAUGCAUCUUUUCCACAAUGGUUCAUUAAAAUUCUAUGGAAAAGAGUCUGGGAAUGGGAUGGGAUGGCACUUCCAGAAUAGUCUUGUGAGGAUCCCAGAAACCAAUGCCCCAGAGGACACAGGAUUAAACUGGUAGAAAUUAGCAAGACUAUUACUUAAAAUCUUUGAUGCUUGACCAAAGGGCUUCCAACAAGUCAAGAAAUGUUUACGCAACAAAAUGUACAGAUAUCGGUAGGAACAAUGUGAGGCCAGGACAAUGAAGGCAGGGCAGCACCUUUCCACUCACCCAGCUUGAUGUUAUGGAAGAGGAUUCCAUGGGGCCUGACAACCAAG
Molecule: long non-coding RNA, 748 nt
Filed under: Heterocephalus glaber (naked mole-rat)
Lineage: Eukaryota; Metazoa; Chordata; Mammalia; Rodentia; Bathyergidae
Description: lncRNA (ENSHGLG00100039233.1)
Source: RNAcentral